This is a long non-coding RNA of Esox lucius (northern pike), 5103 nucleotides long. RefSeq lists it as uncharacterized. NCBI's taxonomy places the organism in Eukaryota, Metazoa, Chordata, Actinopteri, Esociformes, Esocidae. The transcript is spliced from 3 exons. The record is from RefSeq and is a predicted model, not a curated record.
AUGUACGUGGCAUUGGACCCUGUUGAAACUGCAACGCUUGUAAAAGUCGAGUCUGAUCCUCAUCCCAGGCAGGAACACAUUUUUUGCAAUGCUGGUGUCACAGUGGGGGCAGAUGAACCCGCAGUUAUUCGGAAGAAUGGAGCUCCUGAGAUUGAGAUUAAGGUUGAAUCUGACCUGGUUCUGCCAGUUCAGCAGAUUAAAAUUGAGUUGAAAUCUGAGCCUGUUGAAACACUGUGUACCAGUGAUAAAGAUGUGCCUUGCCAGAAGAUAGAGCUGACUGAUAUUUCUAUUAAGGAUGAGCCUGAGUUUCACCCCAUAUCAUCGCAAAUCAAGGAGGAGGCACCCUGUAAUGGAAUCGAAGAUGCACUGUACACAGACUACACUGGGAAGCUAGGCCAUACGCAUGAUGUCUAUAUUAACAAUGAGUCUGAUCUUUAUCCUGAAAUGCAGGGUAAUGUAAGAACUUUAGAACGUUCCCAUUUGGUGUCUACGAUGGAGAGAACAUUGAAUAACCCUUACCCAUACUGCAGGAGAAUUGGUCUAGACCUUGUGAAAUCUAAACUGGGAAUAAAAAAGAAACUUAAUUUGCAAUCAUUGACAGUGGGUGUAAUGCUUGAAAUUUAUGAUUUUGCCAAAGAUGUAUGUGCAUCAUCCCAAGAGAUUGCUGCUAGAGUCAUAGAACAACAUUUUCACCUCGAUUUAGAAAAAAAAAAAUUGCUGUACUCCGAAAAUAUUGGCAACAGAAUAAAGCGGUUUCCGAAACAUAAGGCUCUGAAAGAAAAGUUAUUAAAAGAACCUUAUCAAUUCACCAGUGAGGUACAAAAGCCCUUCCGGAAAAGAGCUGCUCUGCCUAAGGCACCACUUCUGUCAGAGAAUCAAAAAUUUAAAGAAAUCUCUGUAAGAAGGCGAUUAGAUUUAAAGAAGAAGAAAGAGGAAAGGGCCGCCAAGUGGACAAAGGAGGAAAAACAAGCCAAAAAAACGAAUUCAGUGAACUCAGUUCCUGAAAUGCCCACAAUGAUAAGUCUAUGUCCUCAUCAAACGAUAUCUAAAAUGCCAGAUGGUGCGCUGAUGACAAAGCAAAGAACACCAAAUCUUGCACAGUGGUCGUUUAAAGAAGCACAGUUUAGUCCUAAAAAGGUGCUUGCAGACAUACACCCACAGGAGGAAUCUGAUCCAUACUCCAAGCCCACAGAGCAAGCCUUGGACCCAAAAGACAACGAAGUUGACAUGUUAAGGAAAAUUAUCCUGGAUAUAGUCAAGAGUGGUGAAGUUCAUUCGAAAAACAUCUUUAACAAAAUUACUUCAUGUAUUGGUGAUCCAGCUGCCCCAGAGAAGAAAUUCAAGCAUAUCUUAACUGAUUACACAUCAGAGUUUUUGCCACACGUGGUUGAGCAAUAUUAUGCCUAUAGUAAUCCUGAAAAGGUAAUCUUAUCCCUUGUAAAUAAGCUGUUCUGUGGAUUGCAUUUGAUUGAUUGCUUAAUUCAUCAAUCAAAAACUGCUCUUAUACUUUGGGAAUGUAUGAUAUUUGGAGAUAAACUUGGUUUGUCCCUUAGCUUUGGAAUUACAGAAUUGGAGUCUGGAACAGUGCGCUUGGUGAGGUCUGUGUGUGAUUCAUUCCAGGCCAGAGGGUGUGCAAAUGAAGACAGGUAUGUGAAAUUCAAAGGAAUUAUGACCGGCCAAGGAGAAUUUCACAAAGGUCCUUUGGCUUCCUCUAAUGUUAAUAGACUUGACACACUCUGUCUUAAUGCUGCGUGGGUAUACAGUAUCCAUGAUGAUUUAGUGGAGUUUACCACUGAUAACAAAGCAGACAGUUUGUUCAAGGAAGUUGUCGCUGAUUUGAAGGUCCAACAGUUUAAGGCUGGAUGCAGAGCUCUUGGUCUGAUUUCUAAGCUGAUCAUUGAUCCCCUCUCGAGAGCACUGACUGUGAAGGGAAACAUAUUAAAUAUGGAAGCACGAUACCAAACCCUGGUUUCCAAACUCAAGGAAUGGCAUGAAGAUGGCAGACAGUUUGUUGAGGGAAAUGUUUAUUUGUUUGAUGACAUUGAGGUAAUCAACGACCUUGUGUUUCAAAAGCUUACAAUGUGUUCAGACCCAAACCUGUAUGAGUUGACAGUUCAGAUUGUGGAACUGCUCCUUGCUAGUUUUCUCAGGAUUUGUAGCAAAAUGUUGUCUAGUUAUCCUAACUAUUGCAGGCAUAUUCUGGCAACAGAUGAGCUGAGAGAAAAGCUGUGGUCAAUGUCAAAGAAUGCCAGCCUGAAAAGGGAUUUUGGCCUUUUGGAGCAUCUACAAAGGGCUAAAUCUGGAGCCAUUGGUAUUGCCAUAGACUCCAUGGUCAUGUUCAAGAAAAGUCGCAACUGGGACUGGCUUCUAGCUUUGGACAUAGAAAAAAAAAAAUUGUUGCGGAAAACACUUCAGCGGGCAGUUCAACAUCAAAAAGUGUUGUCAAUGGAGGGCUUGCUUGUCCAGAAUGUGAAAGGCAAUCUCAUAAAAUCAGUUGUGAAGCAUGGUUGUGCUGCCCGUGAGGAGAAACUAACUGAACAGAACUUUGUGGAAAUGACAGUACAAUCAGAGGAGAUGGAUGCUAUUUUUGAUGGUGAAGAAGCCAAACCUCAACAAUCUACCCUGCAGUUUGAAAGCAGAAUAACCAUAAAGUCAGAAGAGAUGGAGAGUGACAGAACCAAACUGCAACUUAGCAAAAUAAGUGUGAAGUCUGAAGAGACAGAACGUGAGGAAACCAGACCAAAACAAAUGACAGUGAAGUCAGAGGAGAUGGAGGGUGAAGUACCCAGCCCUAACUUAUCAGGCCUGCACGUCAGAGCUCACCAAUCAUUCCAAUUGCGUGAAGGAAGAGUCUUGCUGAAGAGGCUCGCAGAUAAACCGAAAGCUCUGACGAACACCCCGGGUGAACAAUAUGCCUUGAUGAAACAUGAUUUGAUCAGGGAGUUGGAGAAGUGUGGCAGUUUGUGGGAGAAAGAGGUGGAUAUGGAUGAACACUUGGCCAUAUUGGAUGAAGAUGGAAGAUAUUCGGCAGUGAUCUGCCAAAUUCGGUUCUGGAAGUAUGUCCUAUGUAUGAAAGAUAAAAAAGGGCUUCUCAACAAUUCAGUUGGUGGCAGAAAGUGUAGCUUUGAAGAACUUGUGACAAAUUUGAGAAUGUUCAUCUUGGAAAACAGCACCUCUGAAGAAUUCAAAGCUCUGAAUCUGAAGCAAAAAGUUGAGACCCCUGAGACAUUUACACUGUGAUUCAUUCAGAAAGCUGGUGGAAGUGACAGAUGAUACUGUGGGCAGUGUUUCGAAGUGAGGCACAAGUGUGGUUAGAGAUGCAGGUCCACUAUAGGUCAAUGCACAGUGAAAACAAAAACCAAUCACUGAAUUGGAUUAACACAAAAGGGGUGGCUGAUCUCUAGAAAACAGCCCUUGCAAAUUACACCGCGAAUAAGGGAACUGAAACAUUAAUAUACAUUUUAAACUUGCUUCACAAAUUCUUUGUAUUCUCACUGCCACUAGAAAAACAAAUCAUUAUGUCUCUUCAGAAGUUUUAUGAAUUUUGACUGUUAGCUAUAUUUGCAAUAUACAUUGGCUUUUUGUAUCAAUAGAAUAUUAAAAUUUAGGGCUUUUUGUGAAGUUCCUUUUUGGUAGAAUUUUUUUUUUGGGGGGGAGUCGUUUGUGGGUAUGGUGAACUAAACCUCACUGCUUUCUCAAUAAAAAGUUUCACACUUAGGGAUAUUUGGUGUUCUAGGAAAAAGAACCAUGUGAAGUCACUACAGAAAUUAAGAACAGGAAUACCUAUGUGAUAUUACCUAAGUGGUGGACAGCCCAAUUUCUCUUGUUCUUUUUUUUUGUUGCUUUUUAUGGACUUGAACUUUUCCUCGUGGCAGUUAAUUCCUGGGCAGUAGCCAAGCUUGAGAUCAAAUGUCUCACAUCAGAGCAAGAAAUUGAUUGUUUUUUUUUUAAUCUUUUUUUGAAGAUGAUACUUUUAAUGUUUUUAAAGUUUACUGCUGAAUUGUUUGGAGGAAUUAAAGCGAAAAGGAGAACUCCAUUAAGGAGCUCUCCCACUGAUUCUCAAUUGGAUGCUGAAUACCAAAAAAAGGUGACUUGUCUGGGUGAUUGGUGUGGUCUUGCGUCAAGUCAUUGAUUCUGCCGUUCGCCGACACCUCCGGUUGGUGAAAAUGCAUUCCUCUUCCUCUUGAGUUGCAGUCCGGUCAUUUUAGGAAUACCUGGUCCUGUUCCUGCUGCACAUGAAAAGAACCUCCACAGCUGUACGUCUGGCCUGGGUGAAGAUCUUUGGCAUGUGCCUUUGGGGUUUUGGACCAACCGGGACGUGUGGAAACCUUGGUGCCAUGGCCGGCGGUCUACCAUGAGACCGACGCGCCGACCUGAAUGUUUGUGUGUCUGUAUACUCACAGGGUGGACUGAUGCUUCUGAGACCUGUCCCGCGUCCCACAGCAGAACCAUGGCCAGGUGGGUUGUUGUCGGACAAGAGAGACUGAUCUAUGAGUCGGGUUCACAGCAUCCGCUAGGCAUAUCGGCCUCUCAUAUUGGCGCUUUAGUCCUACUUGCACAACCUACAUUAAUUAAGUCCUACCUCGUUUGUUUACAUUUGAGAGGAAACAUUCUCUGUAAAUAUAUUUUUUUUUCUGUGUAUAUGGUCUGUUAACAGUUUUUUGUUGUGUUUACUUGGCUGGUUAUCGAAAGGAUACAAAAAAAAUAUAUUACACUUUACUUUAGACCAAUUUGAGAAUUCCAUUUGUUGGAUAAUUUUCUGUUUGUAAAUAAUUAUAUGGUUAGAAUUGCUUAGAAAAACUGAAUGACUAUCAAUGUUGUUACUACUGCAGUUCUUUUAACUUGCCAUGUGGGGUCAGCAUUGUUUCAACUUCUCUGUAAGUGGACCAGCAGUUGGCAGCUUAAAGUGUUCUGAAGAACAGCACCUUGUACACGCAGUGAGCAAAGAAACUCACAGUUCCACCAACAUCUUCACAGACAUGUUACAUGUAGCUUGAAAAUCAACUGUCUAUCCAACUUCGCUUCUAAUUCACUCAAUUGAGACUGUUUACAUUUUGUUUUACUUUUAGCCCUUCCGUCCUCAAAUAAAAACGUUUAUGAAGA